UGAGAAAUGGGCCACAUUUCUACCUCCUUGGCCAUGUGCUACCAGUGGCAGGGAUGACCCUCUUUAUGUUUUGGGGUGCUUAGGAGUAAAACUGCUUCUGUGUAAAGGGAACAUACCCAAACAUUCUCCAAAAGCACCUUUUCUGGUAUGAACAUCUUGCAGCUCUUGCAACAUGUCAAUCUCCUGUUAGCAUCCUUACUUACUUUCUGAAAGCCUCCAGGGAGCUGAGAACCUGUGCUCUCAUAAAAUACCACAGUCUAUUUCCCAUUUGCUUGUGUAGAUCUGCUCUUCUUCCUUCAGUUGAAGCAAGGUAGGGUCCUGCCAUAGACUACGACACAACAAAUCAUCCUACACAUCUUCCACUUGCAAAACUGUGAGAUUUUGUCAGCAGUCACUGAAGUUUCAGUCAUGUACCCUGCUAGCUCUUGACAGGGUGCAUGUGAGAAUGAGUGUUGGAAGUGACUGGGCAUGGAGAAACAAGCAACCUAAGAAAUACCCUCGAAGACUACUAAAUCCCUUAAAUAGAUUGAUCAAUCGAUAGGUAGGUAGGUAGGUAGAUAGAUAGAUAGAUAGAUAGAUAGAUAGAUAGAUAGAUAGAUAAAUAGAUAGAUCAAAGAGCUCCAUUGCACUGCUUAAGAGGAGGGGCCAGAGGGCUGGUAGAGUCUCAGGUUUGUGGUCAACAUUCUUGGUCCAACCUAAGCUGAUGAAAACUGCCAAUGGACUAUAUAGUUCUAAAGCUAUCUGAAAAAAAAAAAAAACAGAUCUGAUGCGAACAUGGAUCUUAUCCUGUUUUUCUACCAUCCAUCAGUUUUCAGAGUUGAUCCUGGGACACAGGGAUGCCAGAUGAAGUUCAGCAGCUGAAGCAAAGAGCCACUGCUUUGAAUGGCUAACAACAAUUUAUCUUGAGAAAUCUUACUUUCCCUAUCCUAAAUAUCCUAGGAAAUGGCUAAGUGAAUUGUGUUUCCCAUAGCCAGUAAUACUGUCCCAGUGAUGCUGUUCAAAAAAAAAAAAUACCACUAAUGAAGAAAAAAAAAUUGUGAAUGCUAUUGCGAGUACACUGGACUCUAAGCAAUGAAGACAUUUUAUUCAUAUAAAUUAAAGCAGAAUGGAAGUGGGCUGCUUUUAAUUCACAUUGUCCAUGAAAUUGCAGGACUGCGUUCGUCUCAAUUUUUCAUGCUCAUUGUCUCCAUUUUAAAAUGGUCAGCUUCAAUUGCCUGUUAUUGGCUCAAGUUGUUCAAUUUGUGACCAACAAUUAAGCAAGGGAACUUAAAUGUCAUUAUUUAGCAUGUGGUCUAAAAUGUCAUUUAGAAAAGCCAGCUGUCUUCAGAGAAUAUCUAACUUUUCCCCCUAAACGUCAGAUGGGGCUGUCUUUGGUAAUAAAGACUGUCGUGCUUAGGAAUUGGAAAAGAUUGUUUGGAGAUAUGAGAAAAACUAAACUUGAAGGGACCCAAUACCACAAAGUCAUUUAAAUGAUGGCAUGAAUUUAUAUCGGUUAUUUGCAGAAUCAGCUUGUCAGUCAGAGGAAGACAACUAAUGCAUCAGCACGUGCUGCCAGGGACAUUAGAACCCAAUACUGAUCACUCCUAAACUUCCUCCUAAACCCCACACACUUGAGAAUGGCUAAAAAAAGUAUGUCAGAAAUAUCUUAUUUUUAGAGUUGAAACCCUUUGUUUCCAACCACUAAACUCAAGUAAAAGCAAGACUUUACAUAAGAAUCUCUCAGCUUCGCAAUGAGCACAAUUUAAUAGUAUUCUGUCGCACACACCCAAGAGCAGGUGACUAUGGAGGAAAUCCUGGCCAUCAGCAAACUUUCAGUGUCACUCAGGUCAGGAUUAUGCAUAUAUGCUUUCUGUUUGUCCCUUGGAUUGUACAUGUCAACAACAAUAUUGACGGCUGCUUAGAGUUGACUUUAAGCAGGAUUUACUCAUGAUGGUCUGUUGUGGAAAAGGUUAUUAUUACCACUACAAGACUCAAUUAGCAAGAAUUUAAUUUACAAAAUAUUUCCUAAAGAAAACCAAUUUUACUCCUUGACAAAGAACAUACAAAGUAGUGUUGAAUGUACACAUAAGAGAAAACAAGUAAAAAAUGCCAGCAGUCAGUAGGCUUAUGCCAAGAAUCCCAUGAGCCUUUAUAUUAAAGGGACUUGCCAGUCCUGAAAAGGAAAGGCAACCUAAGAGACUACUCAUCCUUUCAGUCUUAUUUUUAAAAUAUUUUAAUGGUUCUGAAAGUCAGAUAUUUUAUUCUUAACAGCCCAAGACAUUUUCAACAAGAAAAUGAUUUUCAGUUUUCUAUUGAAUAGGAGUCAUAGGAGUGGUGUUUAAAUUAUGUAAAAUUCCAGAUUAGUAGAAUGCAAAUUAAAGAGGAAUUAUAAUAAAAUGGAAACAGACUG
RNAcentral lists this long non-coding RNA (2389 nucleotides) under Mus musculus (house mouse). Its description in RNAcentral is "predicted gene, 38096". Lineage: Eukaryota; Metazoa; Chordata; Mammalia; Rodentia; Muridae. The record is from RNAcentral.